Non-coding RNA from Rattus norvegicus (Norway rat), 2610 nucleotides. Lineage: Eukaryota; Metazoa; Chordata; Mammalia; Rodentia; Muridae. The record is from RefSeq and is a predicted model, not a curated record.
UUCUCUUUAUUGGAGGAGGGCGGGGGGGGCAAAUGCUAUAUAAACCUUGGGAACUGGAUAGUGGCUUUUGGGGUGAGUGUACAUUAUUGGUUGGGGCAUUCCUGGAAUGCCUCAUUUGCAUGAAGAGGAGGUCCAGAUGCUUGCUGGACAUGUCCUUAUAAGGAGACAGGAAGUUUAACUCCUGAUCUGGCCACCAGGCUAUGCGACUGCCUCAAAGGUGGCAGAGGUGGGGAUCCUAAGGCUUAUUGGCACCAGCACAUGCAGGCCCAGAGCAAGGGGGCAAUAGUUCGCUCCUGCAGGCAUCAGGAGGAGAUUUUCGGAGCUUGGACGUGUCUUGAUCUCACAUUUCCUCUGGACUGGCUCCCCCAGUCAAACAGCCUUCCAGCCCCACAGGGAAGCAGCUGACCCAUAAUCUAGAGACCCAGGUCCAAGGCCUGAUUUUGCCACUGCAGUAGCCAGUCCAGGGUCUCAGCCUCUUUGUGCUUCUGUGGUCUCACCUGGAAACUUGGAGUGGCAGGGCUGGCCCGCCCGCAGGCACACCGCUCUCACCUUGGUGUUCCGUGUACAUAGUAGCCCUUAGGAGCAGGUAACAGAAGCUCUUGCUUCCAACACAGGGUAGGGUGAGGUCAAUGCAUCGAGUAUGCCACGUGAUACACAAUAGAAAGUCCACUUUGCCUCCCUCUGCUAUUGGUCUAGGAACACACACCACCAUGCCCUCCAAAAAGGACUGGGGCAUUCUGGGAAUGCCUCAUUUGUCUUCCUUCACAACCAUUCCAUGGAGCAAUGGAGAGCUUGCUCCAUUGCUGAGAGCAGAAAUCCCAUCUGCAUCCUGCAGGGGGCGUGCUGAGACCAGGGGCUGUUUCCCUGAGUUAAAUGAGCUCUCCCGGAUCACAGCCUGGGACCCUCCUUCUGCUCUGCCAGAGCCUCAUUUCUCUUCUCUGAUCUCUGCUUCCCACUCACUGUGUGAAUGGAAUCAGGGUCUGCCUGUCUGCACCCCCCUCCUCCUCUGCCCCUGUGUGCCUUGCAGCCUGCUAGCUACAAGCUUGUUCUUUGAUGAUGAAAAGAGACUUGGUUCCGGAGACAGAGGAAUCCUACCUACAGAAUGGAAACCACUUUUUAUCAAGACGCAAAUGGGGGCGCUCUGUGCCAUUUCCGUAGACAGCGGAGUGUGGAGAGACAGCUCGCUCAGGUUUCCCAAGAACCAGUGAGGGCGUGGGUUCUUGAGUUUCUGCCUGGCGCCAAAGCUGUCGAAGUCACCCUAGCAACCUGAGAGAAUAACCUUUACAAAAUUCCUCUGCGGGUCAAGUUCGUUGGUAGCUAAGAAUGUUACUCAACAAUUUUGGGGGGGGGUAGGAAGAGGGGACCCAGGCUGCAGUCAGAAAAACAUGUCUGGUUAUGGCUUAAGUGGGAGAGUUCCCAUACCCACGGUUGGCAAUAGCCUUCUCAAGCACUUUGACAGCCCACUUUUGCUGCUCAGCUUUGCCUACCUGCAGUGAAAGCGAAGGACCCCAGGGCCUUCCUGUCUCAGCGUAACAAGAACCAUCUAGGACUCAAAGAUAGACCCCAGUGGCUUUCCAGGACACUUUCUGUUCAUUAUCAUCAUCAUCACCACCACCAUCAUCAUCACCAUCAUCGUCGUCCUCAUCACCACCCCCGCCGCCUCGUGGUCAUCAUCGUCGUCGUCGACAUCAUCAUCAUCAUCAUUUUGCAGUACUAGAAAUCGGACCAGGACCUCAUGUAUACUAUGGAACAUUAAAACCAUUGACCACAUCCUAGUCCUGUGUGAAGGUGACAAGACCCCGCCCCCAUACAGCUUCUAUUUCAGUAAAAGAGACAGUCCUAACUAAAUAAUUGUUCAAAACAUUAGUCAGGCCAGGCGCGGUGUCCCAGGUCUGAGGUCCCAGAACUUGAGAGGAAGUAGAGAAUUAUCUAGUCUGGAGGGUCUCACAGAGGUCUGACCCUCCCCCUGGGGCUGGAAUCACCGUGACCAUGACAACAGGGCGUGGCAUAUGGCCGGGGAGCUGGAAGGAGGGACGUCAGGGCCUCUCUGCUUCCUCAGCGCACAGCAUCCCCAGACAUUUCUUUUCUUGACAGACAAAGCUGUCCUGAGGCCUUCAGGGGAGAUCAUUUCAGCGCAACGAUUUCUUUUUACAUAUGUCUAUUGACUUUCCCACACAUUCCGUUAGGAUUUUCCGAUAUAAAGCUCACGGAAGACUGCAGCAGUGGUCAGACAUCACUGAGAGUCUCAGGAUUUUCACCCAGACUUCCAUUCUGCUUGACCAUCCUGUCAUGCAAUGAGGACCUCUUGCUGUAGAAGUAAAAGGAGAGAGGCUAGGAGAAGAGGUGCUUCUCUCCUGAUGCCCCCUGUGGGCAGUGAUCAUAGUGGAUCCGGCUGCCUCCUACUGUGAUAGGCCCUCUGCCUUAGUGGAGGGAAGAGAAUAUUGUUUGUUUGUUUGUUUGUUUGUUUGUUUGUUUGUUUCUCAAGACAAGGUUUCUCUAUGUAGCCCUGGCUGCCCUGGAACUUGAUCUGUAGACCAGGCUGGCCCGGAACUCAGAGAUCCACCUGCCUCUGCCUCCCAAGUGUUGUGAUUAAAGGGGUGUGCCACCAUA